RNAcentral lists this ribosomal RNA (321 nucleotides) under Bacillus siamensis. Its description in RNAcentral is "bacterial LSU rRNA". It matches the Rfam family "Bacterial large subunit ribosomal RNA", at positions 1721 to 2040 of the family's 2925-position model. Lineage: Bacteria; Bacillati; Bacillota; Bacilli; Caryophanales; Bacillaceae. The record is from RNAcentral.
AAUGACCCCGUAACUUCGGGAGAAGGGGUGCUCUGUUAGGGUGCAAGCCCGAGAGAGCCGCAGUGAAUAGGCCCAGGCGACUGUUUAGCAAAAACACAGGUCUCUGCGAAGCCGUAAGGCGAAGUAGAGGGGCUGACGCCUGCCCGGUGCUGGAAGGUUAAGAGGAGCGCUUAGCGUAAGCGAAGGUGCGAAUUGAAGCCCCAGUAAACGGCGGCCGUAACUAUAACGGUCCUAAGGUAGCGAAAUUCCUUGUCGGGUAAGUUCCGACCCGCACGAAAGGCGCAACGAUCUGGGCACUGUCUCAACGAGAGACUCGGUGAA